Long non-coding RNA from Rhineura floridana, 3736 nucleotides. RefSeq lists it as uncharacterized. The record is from RefSeq and is a predicted model, not a curated record. NCBI's taxonomy places the organism in Eukaryota, Metazoa, Chordata, Lepidosauria, Squamata, Rhineuridae. The transcript is spliced from 5 exons.
GGGGAAGGGUAGAGUAAGACCACAAGCAGUCUGAGUAAUCAAAGGGAUUGGGACAGCUUAAGCACACAGUCACAGAGGUAACCUAAUUGAGGGAGACUCAGGCCGAGUCUCUGGGAUUACUGGUUAUAGGACGUGACUGGUGGUGCUGCCUAGCAGGGGGAUCUGUUGAGAUCUGUGCUAGAGCGGGGAGAGAAACCAUAUAAAGGACAGUCCGGACUGGUGGAGUCCCUGGUGGUGCCUAGAGACAGGCAGUAACCACGAGCAGGUAGGAACCUGACAGGGAGAGCCAGGGAAGGGCAUCACAGGAAGACAGUGAACCAAGUCUCAUAGAGGCACAGUUACUGCUCCUCCCCUGGGCAAUGAAGUGGAACUGCUGCAGUCAAUCUACUUAAAGGGUUCAUACAGACUUAGCAUCUUAUCCUUCCUACCAAAAGACUCGUGGGUGUGAAUCUGUGAUGCUACAAGCCUGAGACUGCAUCAGAUCCUGGGAGCUUCUCACUACAUGGAGUAUUAUUCUUUAUGGAGCACCUUCUCCCCUACUUUUUGUGAUAGUUUAUAAAGUCGCCAGAAGGACUGUAUCUAUAAGAGACCAACUCCACAGUCACGGAAGAUGUGCGUGCUACAUCAUCAUCCCACCCAGUGAAGGGGAAGAGCAGUGGAAUCAACCUUCAAUCCAAAAAGGAAAAGACUAGGAAGCAGGCAUGACCAGGUACCAGAAAAAAGUUGCAUACAGUGAAACCUGAGAAGAACAGUCUGUUAUCUUCCUGUUAACUGAUUGGACUGGCAAUAUCUGACCUGUGUGUAGGCAACAUGUGUUAGAGGGAAGAAUAUUCAUUUUCUGUCAGCCACGCAAACUCACUUCAAAAUCUGAAAGUCAAGCAGCGUUAUCUUAGGCUUAGACAUCAAGAUCACUUGCAGCUGUUAGGUCAGCAGACUAUGUCAAAGAAGGAUUCAAACUCGAGUCACUAAUAAGAUGCGACGACAUACAUUGGCCAUAUGAAGGAAGUGCAGUUUCGGGUUUACAAUAUUCCAAGGAAAAAGGGGGGAAACAGCAGAAGAAGCCAAUGUGGCUUCACAAAAAGCUUUAGAGAUGACCUGAAAACAAAAAAGGACACAUACAGGAAGUGGAAAGAAGGCCAGGCCACAAAGGAAGAGUACACGCAGGUAUCACAGAAUUGCAGAGAUGGCGUCAGGAAGGCUAAAGCUAAGAAUUAGCUGAGAUUAGCGAGAGAUGCUAAAAGCAACAAAAAAGCUUUCUUCAGGUACGUCCAUAGUAAAAGACAGAGAAAGGAAAUGGUGGCACAGCUACUCAAUGAGGAUGGCAAAAUGAUAACAGAUGACAAAGAAAAAGCAGAAGUGCUCAAUUCCUACUUUGGCUCAGUCUUCUCCCAAAAAAGGGUCUAUGACACUCCUGGAAAACGUGAAGUAGAAGGGGCAGGAUUGGAGCUUGAGAUUGAUAGGCAAAUGGUCAAGGAAUACCUAAUCACUUUGAACGAGUUCAAAUUGGCAGGGCCCGAUAUACUGCAUCCUAGAGUAUUGAAGGAACUGGCUGAAGAACUCUCAGAACCACUGUCUAUCAUCUUUACAAAAUCAUGGAGGACUGGUGAAGUGCUGGAUGACUGAAGGAGAGCUAAUGUUGUCCCUAUCUUCAAAAAGGGCAAAAAGGAGGAACCGGGGAACUACAGACCAGUCAACCUUACAUCAAUCCCUGGAAAAACUCUGGAGCAGAUUAUAAAGCAGUCAGUCUGUAAGCACCUCGAAAACAAUGCAGUGAUUACUAGGAGCCAACACAGAUUUAUGAAGAACAAAUCCUGCCAAACUAAUCUUAGCUCAUUUUUUUAUUGGGUAACCUCCCUGGUAGACUGUGGGAAUGCUGUGGACAUACUAUAUCUCGACUUCAGCAAAGCUUUUGACCAAGUGCCCCAUGAUAUUCUGAUUAGCAAUCUAGCUAAAUGUGGACUGGAUGGAACAACUCCAGAAUCGUACUCAAAGAGUGCUUAUCAAUGGUUCCUUCUCAAACUGGGUGGAAGUAACGAGUGGGGUACCACAGGGCUCGGUCUGGGUCCCAGUGUUCUUCAACAUUUUUAUUAAUGACUUGGAUGAGGAGGUACAGAGCAUGCUUAUCAAAUUUGCAGAUGAUACAAAAUUGGAGGGCAAAGCUAAUACCAUGGAAGACAGAAACAAAAUUCAAAGGCACCUUGAUAGGCUGGAGCAUUGGGUUGAAAACAACAGAAUGAAAUUCAACAGGGAUAAAUGCAAAGUUCUACACUUAAGAAAAAGAAACCAAAUGCACAGUUAUAAGAUGGGGGAUACUUGGCUCAGCCAUACAACAUGUGAGAAGGAUCUUGGAAUUGUUGUCGAUCACAAGCUGAAUAUGAGCCAACAGUGCAAUGUGGCUCCAAAAAAGGCAAAUGCUAUUUUAGGCUGCAUUAACAGAAGUAUAGAUUCCAAAUCGUGUGAAGUACUACUUCCCCUCUAUUCAUCACUGGUUAGGCCUCAUCUUGAAUACUGCAUCCAGUUCUGGUCUCCGUACUUCAAGAAGGAUGCAAACAAACUGGAACAGGUUCAGAGGAGAGCAACAAGGAUGAUCAUGGGACUGGAAAGAAAGCCCUAUGAGGAGAGACUGAAAGAACUGGGCAUGUUUAGCCUGGAGAAGAGAAGACUGAGGGGAGUUAUGAUAGCAUGAAAGGUUGUCAUACAGAGGAGGGCCAGGAUCUCUUCUCGAUCGUCCCAGAGUGCAGGACAUGGAAUAAUGGGCUCAAGUUGCAGGAAGCCAGAUUUCGACUGGACAUCUGGAAAAACUUCCUGACUGUAUGGAAGUUCCUAACUGACAAUGGAACCAAUGACCUAGAGAGGUAGUGGGCUCUCCAACACUGGAGGCAUUCAAGAAGCAGCUGGACAGCCAUCUGUCGGGAAUGCUUUGAUUUGGAUUCCUGCAUUGAGCAGGGGGUUGGACUUGAUGGCCUUAUAGGCUCCUUCCAACUCUACUAUUCUAUGAUUCUAUUCCCUUCAUGGUACUCUUUUCUACCUGGAUAUUGUGACUGUCACUUCACCUAAGCAGAAGAUUGUUUCUAGGGCUCUGUGAAUACUUUACAACAGCAGCUGUUAGAACCAGAAGCAGAUGUGAAUUACCUAGUCUACUUACUUACUUACUUACUUACUUACUUACUUAAAAUAUACCACAAUUUCAUAGAAAAUAUCAAAGCAGUGUAAAACAUAUAUACAAUAACAAAAAUCGUAGAUCAUGGGCUAACGUAUAGUCUGACACUGGCCAUUGGAAGAAAUGACUGGCAUGCACAAGCAAGGAAAGGUUUCCCCUGUAUGCAAACGUUCUAGCAACAUGUAGGUAAAGAGAAUAUAGACUGGGCCUAGAGAAUAACCCUACCUUCAGCUGCCCAGCUUGCAAGGAUUUUGGUAAUUCAGAUAAAGCAGCAGUGGAGAAUGUGAUGUUCCUAUAUUAAUGUAUAUAUGGUAAGUGUUGUUGUUUUAGAAGAAACAUGGUAAGUGGAGUGAAAGAGGAGGGGGAGUGAAUGGGCAGUAGAAUGCGAGAUGAUUGGCUGAGUGUUUAAAAUGGCUGAAUGUAUAAAAGGAAGAGGGAGAGUGGAAUCUGGGGGGGAAAGAGAAAGAGUGGAUUGCUUGGUGGGGUUUGAGAGAGUUGUUUGCCAGGAGAGAGUGAAGAAGGAGGGAGGUGGAGUUCGGAUUAGUAUUGAGUAAAACCAUAUGCUUAUGUGCCUUA